This 497-nucleotide ribosomal RNA is filed under the name uncultured bacterium. RNAcentral's name for it is "partial 16S ribosomal RNA". It matches the Rfam family "Bacterial small subunit ribosomal RNA", at positions 28 to 507 of the family's 1533-position model. The record is from RNAcentral.
GAUGAACGCUGGCGGCGUGCCUAAUACAUGCAAGUCGAGCGAACGGACGAGAAGCUUGCUUCUCUGAUGUUAGCGGCGGACGGGUGAGUAACACGUGGAUAACCUACCUAUAAGACUUGGAUAACUUCGGGAAACCGUAGCUAAUACCGGAUAAUAUUUUGAACCGCAUGGUUCAAAAGUGAAAGACGGUCUUGCUGUCACUUAUAGAUGGAUCCGCGCUGCAUUAGCUAGUUGGUAAGGUAACGGCUUACCAAGGCAACGAUGCAUAGCCGACCUGAGAGGGUGAUCGGCCACACUGGAACUGAGACACGGUCCAGACUCCUACGGGAGGCAGCAGUAGGGAAUCUUCCGCAAUGGGCGAAAGCCUGACGGAGCAACGCCGCUUGAGUGAUGAAGGUCUUCGGAUCGUAAAACUCUGUUAUUAGGGAAGAACAUAUGUGUAAGUAACUGUGCACAUCUUGACGGUACCUAAUCAGAAAGCCACGGCUAACUACGUG